RNAcentral lists this ribosomal RNA (498 nucleotides) under uncultured bacterium. RNAcentral describes it as "bacterial SSU rRNA". It matches the Rfam family "Bacterial small subunit ribosomal RNA", at positions 30 to 523 of the family's 1533-position model. The record is from RNAcentral.
AUUGAACGCUGGCGGUAUGCUUAACACAUGCAAGUCGAACGGUAACAGGCCUUCGGGCGCUGACGAGUGGCGGACGGGUGAGUAACGCGUAGGAAUCUGCCUCAUAGUGGGGGACAACGUUGGGAAACUCACGCUAAUACCGCAUACGCCCUACGGGGAAAGGCGGGGGAGUCUUCGGACCUCGCGCUAUGAGAUGAGCCUGCGUUAGAUUAGCUAGUUGGUAGGGUAAAGGCCUACCAAGGCGACGAUCUAUAGCUGGUCUGAGAGGACGAUCAGCCACACUGGGACUGAGACACGGCCCAGACUCCUACGGGAGGCAGCAGUGGGGAAUAUUGGACAAUGGGCGCAAGCCUGAUCCAGCAAUACCGCGUGUGUGAAGAAGGCCUUAGGGUUGUAAAGCACUUUCAAUUGGGAGGAAAACCUGCCGGUCAAUACCCGGUAGCUUGACAUUACCUUUAGAAGAAGCACCGGCUAACUCCGUGCCAGCAGCCGCGGUAA